GCGGACGGGUGAGUAAUGCCUAGGAAUCUGCCUGGUAGUGGGGGAUAACGUUCGGAAACGGACGCUAAUACCGCAUACGUCCUACGGGAGAAAGCAGGGGACCUUCGGGCCUUGCGCUAUCAGAUGAGCCUAGGUCGGAUUAGCUAGUUGGUGAGGUAAUGGCUCACCAAGGCUACGAUCCGUAACUGGUCUGAGAGGAUGAUCAGUCACACUGGAACUGAGACACGGUCCAGACUCCUACGGGAGGCAGCAGUGGGGAAUAUUGGACAAUGGGCGAAAGCCUGAUCCAGCCAUGCCGCGUGUGUGAAGAAGGUCUUCGGAUUGUAAAGCACUUUAAGUUGGGAGGAAGGGCAGUUACCUAAUACGUGAUUGUUUUGACGUUACCGACAGAAUAAGCACCGGCUAACUCUGUGCCAGCAGCCGCGGUAAUACAGAGGGUGCAAGCGUUAAUCGGAAUUACUGGGCGUAAAGCGCGCGUAGGUGGUUUGUUAAGUUGGAUGUGAAAUCCCCGGGCUCAACCUGGGAACUGCAUUCAAAACUGACUGACUAGAGUGUGGUAGAGGGUGGUGGAAUUUCCUGUGUAGCGGUGAAAUGCGUAGAUAUAGGAAGGAACACCAGU
RNAcentral lists this ribosomal RNA (619 nucleotides) under Pseudomonas sp. I12B-01678. RNAcentral's name for it is "bacterial SSU rRNA". It matches the Rfam family "Bacterial small subunit ribosomal RNA", at positions 98 to 713 of the family's 1533-position model. Lineage: Bacteria; Pseudomonadati; Pseudomonadota; Gammaproteobacteria; Pseudomonadales; Pseudomonadaceae. The record is from RNAcentral.